Tachyglossus aculeatus (Australian echidna) is the source of this 138-nucleotide small nucleolar RNA. The record is from RefSeq and is a predicted model, not a curated record. NCBI's taxonomy places the organism in Eukaryota, Metazoa, Chordata, Mammalia, Monotremata, Tachyglossidae.
CCCCUCUCAGGGUCGCAUCUGGAGAGUUUCCAGUACUCUACCAGUCAUGACUAUGGGAGGGAGAUUCAAGCAGAAGCAUCUUCUUUCAAUUCCUAGCUUGGGCAAUGGCUAGCAAGUGGAAGGCAAUCUGCUACAAGU